UACGUAGGGUGCGAGCGUUAAUCGGAAUUACUGGGCGUAAAGCGUGCGCAGGCGGUUUUGUAAGCCAGAUGUGAAAUCCCCGGGCUUAACCUGGGAAUGGCAUUUGGGACUGCAAGGCUUGAGUGCGGCAGAGGAGACUGGAAUUCCUGGUGUAGCAGUGAAAUGCGUAGAUAUCAGGAGGAAUACCGAUGGCGAAGGCAGGUCUCUGGGCUGACACUGACGCUCAUGCACGAAAGCGUGGGGAUCAAACAGG
Molecule: ribosomal RNA, 253 nt
Filed under: uncultured bacterium
Lineage: Bacteria
Description: partial 16S ribosomal RNA
Rfam family: Bacterial small subunit ribosomal RNA
Source: RNAcentral